This 416-nucleotide long non-coding RNA is filed under the name Homo sapiens (human). RNAcentral's name for it is "non-protein coding lnc-LAMA4-1:3". Lineage: Eukaryota; Metazoa; Chordata; Mammalia; Primates; Hominidae. The record is from RNAcentral.
UUAUUUUUAGUGAGACUGAAAGCUAAUAGGCAGCUGCCAGCAGUGGAGUGACAGGAUAGAGAAACAACUGUAGAGGAGCAAGAGAUGAUGGUGACUCAGACCAAAGUGGAAGCAGUGGAGGUGAGGAGAGCUGGUCAAAUUCCAGGCAGUACCUGAAACACAUUCAUCACAGUCAAAAGGAAGUGAAGAGACACAGAAGGGAAGCAAGAUACUGAGAUGCUGCCAAGUAUCCCAGAGUCCAUGAUGGAGUAGAGAUGAAACAAUAGACCCAGGUCAUUCCUCUGCUGGAGGUUCUGAGGCAAGCAGUAGUGCUCUGCAGAUGAACAUUCAUGACAACUUGCCUUUCAACUGGAGGUGUGUGACAGCCAGAAAAAUACCAUCGAGGGCCUCUGAAGGGACUGCCUCUCCAAGGAGCC